Molecule: ribosomal RNA, 495 nt
Filed under: uncultured bacterium
Lineage: Bacteria
Description: partial 16S ribosomal RNA
Rfam family: Bacterial small subunit ribosomal RNA
Source: RNAcentral
GAUGAACGCUGGCGGCGUGCCUAAUACAUGCAAGUCGAACGCUGAAGGAGGAGCUUGCUCUUCUGGAUGAGUUGCGAACGGGUGAGUAACGCGUAGGUAACCUGCCUGGUAGCGGGGGAUAACUAUUGGAAACGAUAGCUAAUACCGCAUGACAACAGUUAUUGCAUGAUAACUGUUUAAAAGGGGCAACUGCUCCACUACCAGAUGGACCUGCGUUGUAUUAGCUAGUUGGUGAGGUAACGGCUCACCAAGGCGACGAUACAUAGCCGACCUGAGAGGGUGGUCGGCCACACUGGGACUGAGACACGGCCCAGACUCCUACGGGAGGCAGCAGUAGGGAAUCUUCGGCAAUGGACGGAAGUCUGACCGAGCAACGCCGCGUGAGUGAAGAAGGUUUUCGGAUCGUAAAGCUCUGUUGCAAGAGAAGAACGAGUGUGAGAGUGGAAAGUUCACACUGUGACGGUAUCUUACCAGAAAGGGACGGCUAACUACGUG